GCUUGCUUAAAGGGGCCGUAGCCGGUCUGUUAAGUCCCUGGGGAAAUCCUCCCGUUUAACGGAAGGAAGUCUGGGGAUACUGGCAGACUAGGGGGCGGGAGACGCGAGAGGUACUCCGGGGGUAGCGGUGAAAUGUUGUAAUCCUCGGGGGACCACCAGUGGCGAAGGCGUCUCGCGAGAACGCGCUCGACGGUGAGGGACGAAAGCCAGGGGAGCGAACGGGAUUAGAUACCCCGGUAGUCCUGGCUGUAAACUCUGCAGGCUAGGUGUUGCACGCUCUACGGGGGCGUGCAGUGUCGAAGAGAAGUUGAUUAGCCUGCCGCCUGGGAAGUACUACCGCAAGGUAGAAACUUAAAGGAAUUGGCGGGGGAGCACCACAAGGGGUGAAGUCUGCGGUUCAAUUGGAUUCAACGCCGGAAAUCUCACCGGAGGCGACGGCAGGAUGAAGGCCAAGCUAAUGACUUUGCCGAACGAGCCGAGAGGAGGUGCAUGGCCGUCGUCAGCUCGUACCGUGAGGCGUCCUGUUAAGUCAGGCAACGAGCGAGACCCGUGCCCUGUUUGUCAUCCAGCCUCUGUGGAGGCUGGGACACAGUAAGGGGACCGCUGGCGCUAAGUCAGAGGAGGGCGCGGGCGACGGUAGGUCCGCAUGCCCCUAAAAGCC
Molecule: ribosomal RNA, 661 nt
Filed under: uncultured archaeon
Lineage: Archaea
Description: bacterial SSU rRNA
Rfam family: Archaeal small subunit ribosomal RNA
Source: RNAcentral